GACGAACGCUGGCGGCGUGCUUAACACAUGCAAGUCGAACGGUGAAGCGAGUGCUUGCACUCGGGGAUCAGUGGCGAACGGGUGAGUAACACGUGAGUAACCUGCCCAUCACUCUGGGAUAAGCACUGGAAACGGUGUCUAAUACUGGAUACGACCAACCCUUGCAUGGGGUGUUGGUGGAAAGAUUUAUCGGUGAUGGAUAGACUCGCGGCCUAUCAGCUUGUUGGCGGGUUAAUGGCACACCAAGGCGACGACGGGUAGCCGGCCUGAGAGGGUGACCGGCCACACUGGGACUGAGACACGGACCAGAAUCCUACGGGCGGCAGCAGUGGGGAAUAUUGCACAAUGGGCGAACGCCUGAUGCAGCGACGCCGCGUGAGGGAUGACGGCCUUCGGGUUGUAAACCUCUUUCAGCAGGGAAGAAGCGACAGUGACGGUACCUGCAGAAGAAGCACCGGCUAACUACGUG
This 469-nucleotide ribosomal RNA is filed under the name uncultured bacterium. Its description in RNAcentral is "partial 16S ribosomal RNA". It matches the Rfam family "Bacterial small subunit ribosomal RNA", at positions 28 to 507 of the family's 1533-position model. The record is from RNAcentral.